This 370-nucleotide ribosomal RNA is filed under the name uncultured organism. RNAcentral's name for it is "bacterial SSU rRNA". It matches the Rfam family "Bacterial small subunit ribosomal RNA", at positions 526 to 896 of the family's 1533-position model. The record is from RNAcentral.
CGUUGGGUGCAAGCGUUAAUCGGAAUUACUGGGCGUAAAGCGUGCGCAGGCGGCUUUGCAAGACAGAUGUGAAAUCCCCGGGCUUAACCUGGGAACUGCAUUUGUGACUGCAUGGCUGGAGUGCGGCAGAGGGGGAUGGAAUUCCGCGUGUAGCAGUGAAAUGCGUAGAUAUGCGGAGGAACACCGAUGGCGAAGGCAAUCCCCUGGGCCUGCACUGACGCUCAUGCACGAAAGCGUGGGGAGCAAACAGGAUUAGAUACCCUGGUAGUCCACGCCCUAAACGAUGUCAACUGGUUGUUGGACGGCUUGCUGUUCAGUAACGAAGCUAACGCGUGAAGUUGACCGCCUGGGGAGUACGGCCGCAAGGUUG